CGGUCCCUAAGGCGAGGCUGAAAAGCGUAGUCGAUGGAAAACAGGUUAAUAUUCCUGUACUUCUGGUUAUUGCGAUGGAGGGACGGAGAAGGCUAGGCCAGCUUGGCGUUGGUUGUCCAAGUUUAAGGUGGUAGGCUGGAAUCUUAGGUAAAUCCGGGAUUUCAAGGCCGAGAGCUGAUGACGAGUCGUCUUUUAGACGACGAAGUGGUUGAUGCCAUGCUUCCAAGAAAAGCUUCUAAGCUUCAGGUAACCAGGAACCGUACCCCAAACCGACACAGGUGGUUGGGUAGAGAAUACCAAGGCGCUUGAGAGAACUCGGGUGAAG
This 325-nucleotide ribosomal RNA is filed under the name Conticribra weissflogii. RNAcentral's name for it is "partial Bacterial large subunit ribosomal RNA". It matches the Rfam family "Bacterial large subunit ribosomal RNA", at positions 1385 to 1709 of the family's 2925-position model. The record is from RNAcentral. Lineage: Eukaryota; Bacillariophyta; Thalassiosirophyceae; Thalassiosirales; Thalassiosiraceae.